GCGAACGCUGGCGGCAGGCCUCACCCAUGCAAGUCGAACGAACCUUUCGGGGUUAGUGGCGGACGGGUGAGUAACACGUGGGAACGUGCCUUUAGGUUCGGAAUAACUCAGGGAAACUUGUGCUAAUACCGAAUGUGCCCUUCGGGGGAAAGAUUUAUCGCCUUUAGAGCGGCCCGCGUCUGAUUAGCUAGUUGGUUGAGGUAAUGGCUCACCAAGGCGACGAUCAGUAGCUGGUCUGAGAGGAUGAUCAGCCACAUUGGGACUGAGACACGGCCCAAACUCCUACGGGAGGCAGCAGUGGGGAAUCUUGCGCAAUGGGCGAAAGCCUGACGCAGCCAUGCCGCGUGAAUGAUGAAGGUCUUAGGAUUGUAAAAUUCUUUCACCGGGGACGAUAAUGACGGUACCCGGAGAAGAAGCCCCGGCUAACUUCGUG
RNAcentral lists this ribosomal RNA (433 nucleotides) under uncultured bacterium. RNAcentral describes it as "partial 16S ribosomal RNA". It matches the Rfam family "Bacterial small subunit ribosomal RNA", at positions 29 to 507 of the family's 1533-position model. The record is from RNAcentral.